GCUACUCAGGAGGCUGAGGUGGGAGGAUCGCUUGAGCCUGGGAGGUCAAGGCUGCAGUGAGCCAAGAUCUUGCCACUGCACACCAGCCUGGGUGACAGAGCAAAACCCGGCCUCAAAAAGAGGAAAAAAAAAAAGAAAAAGAAAAGAAAAUGAUUUUUCACAUUUUGCACUCCUAACACUUUUUUAAGAAUUUAUUUCUGUAUAUAUUUAUAGAUCUUUAUAUCACCAAGUCUUAAAAGUUACUUUUUCAGAGAAAUAAUAAAACCUCCAUGUAAUCAUAGAUUCAUCAGUUAUCAAUACUCAAAGGUUCCUCUUUAAAACUAGUAUAUCAUGGCACUAAAAGCACAGAUUUUGGGGUCAAACAGCAUUGGGUUCCAGUCUUUGCUCUGCCAAUUACCAGCUAUGUGACUCUGGCCAGGUCGUUUCUCUCCUGAGGCCUUUGUGCCUUCAUUUAUAAGUCAGGCUAGUCACAGGUCUUUCCUAGGAUUGUUAUGAAGAGACACAAAACGGCAAGAAAAAGCACUGUACUGGUGCCAGGAAGAGUGUCCCAUGAAUGGUCACUAUGACAAUAUACACAAGUGGCCUCUUUCUCCACGCCCCCUCUGUUGAGGGCAGGCACACAGGGCAGGCGCAUGGGGCAGGGAGAAGCCAUGGAUCCAGGUGAGAGAGUGCAGUGACAAAGCAAGUGGAGUUAUUUCGUACUAAUGUUAAGUGGUUAGGAACAAACAAAACUGAGACUCUUGGGCCAGGGUGCUGCAGCGAGGUGCUUGUGGCCUUAGGUUGUUGGAGAGCAGAGGCAAGCCCGCUCCAGGACCUCCAUGCUCCGCCUCCUUUCUGCCUUGACCCCUCACCACUGCGAUAGCAAUGAGCUUUCCACUUUAAAGAGCUUGGGGCUUUGAUGGCAAACAGACUGAAUUUGAACCCUGGCUUGACCAGACCAUUUACUACAUUAGUCUGGGAAUGAUUCCCCUAAGCAAACAUCCCAGAGAGAAGAAAAGCAAAAGACACACAGCUAAAUGGACAACAGUUCCCAGCCUCGUCACAGGAGAACUCUUUGGAGCCAAGUGAACCCCUGGGUCUCCUUUUUCCCACCCCAUCACUUCAGCGCUUUGAGAUCAAGUUCGAACUCAGUCCCAACACAGAGUGUCACUGCAAAUUGUUUAUUAAAACACAAAGCAAUGGACAGUGAAAAACAUCCUGAUUUUGUA
This 1208-nucleotide long non-coding RNA is filed under the name Homo sapiens (human). RNAcentral's name for it is "HSALNT0195995". The record is from RNAcentral. Lineage: Eukaryota; Metazoa; Chordata; Mammalia; Primates; Hominidae.